UACGUAGGCGGCGAGCGUUGUCCGGAUUUACUGGGCGUAAAGGGAGCGUAGGCGGACUUUUAAGUGAGAUGUGAAAUACCCGGGCUCAACUUGGGUGCUGCAUUUCAAACUGGAAGUCUAGAGUGCAGGAGAGGAGAAUGGAAUUCCUAGUGUAGCGGUGAAAUGCGUAGAGAUCGGGAGGAACACCAGUGGCGAAGGCGGGUAACUGGACUGCAACUGACGCUGAGGCGCGAAGGUGUGGGGAGCAAACAGGAUUAGAUACCCCGGUAGUCCCU
RNAcentral lists this ribosomal RNA (275 nucleotides) under uncultured prokaryote. Its description in RNAcentral is "partial 16S ribosomal RNA". It matches the Rfam family "Bacterial small subunit ribosomal RNA", at positions 524 to 798 of the family's 1533-position model. The record is from RNAcentral.